AAUGACACAAAACUCCUGCCUUAAAGCCCUAAAUGACGGCUUCAAUAUCAGCCCCAUUAAGCAUGAAAUUCAUUUACUUAAAUAAAAUCUGAAUCUUAGCCCAAACCUGGGAGAUUCAAAACCUGAGAGCAGUCUUACCAAAGACGCCCGUAUGUCUGGUGAAGUCAGUUGGAUGCAAGCAGUUUGUGCUGGUACCGGGGCCCCAGCUACUGAUGAAGUGGCAGGAGUCCACGGAAGCCUACUACAAAGUUCCUGGGGCUUCCAGGGGAGAUUGACGAGAUUCCUGGGGAGGGGAUUCAUGACAGCUGAGUUCCUUUUGGAGGAUCCAUCUUCAGGCAGUCUGACCCCCCAAGAAAGCAGCUGGAAAACAAGAGCAUGUGAAGGAAGCGCGGCAGCUCCUCGCCAGCCAGCCAGCCAGCCCCGCACCGCAGGAAUCGACACGUACGGCAGCCUAGACGCCAUCAGUUAAACUUAUAUGUAGGCUUGUUGAGGAAAACGACUUUCAAACACAAAGCAAAAGAAAAACAUGAAACCAAGGGUUCCAACAUUCAUCACCCAGUUUCAGGGACACCUUUGUAGGAAUGCUACAGCCUCUUCCUUACCCAUUCAAACCAGUCGCUCUGCUGCAUACCCACAUCACAGGAGGCCCUUAGCCCCGACACACAGGCUCACUCAGCCCAGGGACGUCAGCACCUGUGCCAGCUCCGCAGGGUAUCCACCAUGUGGCCAGAACUGAGGCCCAGCAAUUGCUGAAAUGUCCUUUAAAUGAACAGGUACAACACGUACAACCCCCAAGAGCUGACAUCCCCAAAGCCCCACCACAAAUAGCUGACUCCUACUUAUACCUGCAGGAGCAGGUGCUGACCUCUGCAAUUCUAAACCGUCCACUUUGGGCAAAAUUCAUCAAGCUAUGGAUAUGAAAAAAGGCCCCCAAGGAUAUGAUUCAUAGUCCAGCGUUUGAGUGAGCACUCCAGUCAGAACGAACUCUGCAUUGUGAACAUCUGAACAGAGUGGAAACAGACACUUGUUAGAGAUCCACUGCUGUGCGUGCGCACAUACUCAACACAGGGCAAUGACGGACUCGCUGGUGGACUCCACUCUACCCACCGAGUUCUGCUUGUGCUCCAUGAGCUUCCGGAAAGAUGGCUGCUUGGAUAACACCUUUCCUCCUGCACACUCUACGAUUGCCUUCAUAGUGGAAAGACUUGGGCAGAUUCCAGGUGUGAUGUAAAAAUAUUUUGCCUAAAAUUAAAUGAAAAUAUAUG
Molecule: non-coding RNA, 1265 nt
Filed under: Pongo abelii (Sumatran orangutan)
Lineage: Eukaryota; Metazoa; Chordata; Mammalia; Primates; Hominidae
Source: RNAcentral